This 428-nucleotide ribosomal RNA is filed under the name uncultured bacterium. RNAcentral's name for it is "partial 16S ribosomal RNA". It matches the Rfam family "Bacterial small subunit ribosomal RNA", at positions 354 to 796 of the family's 1533-position model. The record is from RNAcentral.
GUGGGGAAUAUUGGGCAAUGGGCGAAAGCCUGACCCAGCAACGCCGCGUGAGGGAAGAAGGCCUUCGGGUUGUAAACCUCUGUCUUUGGUGACGAAACAAAUGACGGUAGCCAGAGAGGAAGCCCCGGCUAACUACGUGCCAGCAGCCGCGGUAAUACGUAGGGGGCGAGCGUUGUCCGGAAUUACUGGGCGUAAAGGGUGCGUAGGUGGCCUUUUAAGUUGGAUGUGAAAUCCCCGGGCUUAACUUGGGUGGUGCAUCUAAUACUGGAGGGCUAGAGUGCAGGAGAGGGAAGCGGAAUUCCUAGUGUAGCGGUGAAAUGCGUAGAUAUUAGGAGGAACACCAGUGGCGAAGGCGGCUUUCUGGACUGUAACUGACACUGAGGCACGAAAGCGUGGGGAGCAAACAGGAUUAGAAACCCGGGUAGUCC